AUACGUAGGGGGCAAGCGUUAUCCGGAUUUACUGGGUGUAAAGGGAGCGUAGACGGUAAAGCAAGUCUGAAGUGAAAGCUCGGGGCUCAACCCCGGAACUGCUUCUGAAACUGCUUUACUUGAGUGCUGGAGAGGAUAGUGGAAUUCCUAGUGUAGCGGUAAAAUGCGCAGAUAUUAGGAGGAAAACCGGUGGCGAAGGCGGCUAUCUGGACAGUAACUGACGCUGAGGCGCGAAAGCACGGGGAGCAAACAGGAUUAGAUACCCUGGUAGUCCGUGCCGUAAACGAUGAAUACUAGGUGUAGGGGGUAUCGACUCCCUCUGUGCCGCAGUUAACACAUUAAGUAUUCCACCUGGGGAGUACGGCCGCAAGGUUGAAACUCAAAUGAAUUGACGGGG
Molecule: ribosomal RNA, 397 nt
Filed under: uncultured bacterium
Lineage: Bacteria
Description: partial 16S ribosomal RNA
Rfam family: Bacterial small subunit ribosomal RNA
Source: RNAcentral